Long non-coding RNA from Helianthus annuus (common sunflower), 609 nucleotides. RefSeq lists it as uncharacterized. The record is from RefSeq and is a predicted model, not a curated record. The transcript has 3 exons. NCBI's taxonomy places the organism in Eukaryota, Viridiplantae, Streptophyta, Magnoliopsida, Asterales, Asteraceae.
GUCUAAUUCAGGUAAACAAAAUACCUCUUGUGUUCAGCAUACUUGAUUCAUGCCCAAUAUGAGAUCACAUGAAAGAAAAGAAUCUGUGUGGCUAUGUCAGCUUACCGGGACAGAUGCUCAAAGUUUGGAUUUCCGAGGACAAGGGUAUCCUUAUGGGCACUUUAUUUGAAGCGUGUGUUUAACAUAAGACUAAUUCAGACCAUCAGGCAUCAGUAGCUGAUAGACGUCUUCAAAAGGAUCUGGUUCAAACUUAUGUGUGCUUUUAGUUAGUGCGAUCGUCUACUGGCAUUCCAGAAUAAAUGAAGGCUGCUACUCUUUCAUGUCUUUCGUUUUUUGUUUCCGUUGUCAUAUGAUGGUAUACUUAAGCAGUAGCUUGUGAUGAGUAUGAUAACUUGUUCUGGUAAUUAUCAAAUGUGUGUGUAAACCUAAUAUUCCAACAUACUUAAGGUUUAGAUGAGUGAUUAAGGCUGCAAUCAUUCUACAAAUGUUCAUUAAAACCGUAUGUAUGGCUUCUGUGCAUCACAACCUCUCAUUACAAUUUUCAAAAGUGAUGAUAUGUUUGGAUUGGUUUGCAUGAUGUAAUGAGAAUGAAUACAAGUCAGAUAGAUG